Molecule: non-coding RNA, 73 nt
Organism: Nematostella vectensis (starlet sea anemone)
Lineage: Eukaryota; Metazoa; Cnidaria; Anthozoa; Actiniaria; Edwardsiidae
Source: Rfam
GUUUCCGUAGUGCAGUGUUUAUCACGUCUGCCUCACACGCAGAAGGUCCCCAGCUCGAGCCUGGGCGAAAACA